CCGUUUUUCCACAAUUAUUUUUUUUUUCUAUUUUUUUUUACUUGCCUUGAAUCCAGAUUGGUGAUUUUGUGUAUCUUAUUGCGUUGAAUUGGUGAUUUUCAUAAAUUCGACGUUGUAUCUUUUUUUGUAAAAUGAAAAUAAAACGUAAAAGAUACCUAAUGUGACAAUGAUAUAGUAUGAACAACAACCGAUAAGGAAACCCGGGAAAUAGAAUAAAAACUUGAGAUACCGUGACUUUAUUUUUAUGUACAAAUUUUUAAAAACACCC
RNAcentral lists this long non-coding RNA (268 nucleotides) under Mytilus galloprovincialis (Mediterranean mussel). Lineage: Eukaryota; Metazoa; Mollusca; Bivalvia; Mytilida; Mytilidae. The record is from RNAcentral.